Molecule: ribosomal RNA, 513 nt
Filed under: uncultured bacterium
Lineage: Bacteria
Description: bacterial SSU rRNA
Rfam family: Bacterial small subunit ribosomal RNA
Source: RNAcentral
AGUAACACGUGACUAACCUACCCUCGAGUGGGGAAUAACCUGGAGAAAUCCGGGCUAAUACCGCAUAACACUUACGAGUCAAAGCAGCAAUGCGCUUGGGGAGGGGGUCGCGGCCGAUUAGCUAGUUGGCGGGGUAAUGGCCCACCAAGGCAAUGAUCGGUAUCCGGCCUGAGAGGGCGCACGGACACACUGGAACUGAAACACGGUCCAGACUCCUACGGGAGGCAGCAGUGGGGAAUUUUGCGCAAUGGGGGAAACCCUGACGCAGCAACGCCGCGUGGAGGAUGAAGUACUUCGGUACGUAAACUCCUUUCGAUCGGGACGAUAAUGACGGUACCGGAAGAAGAAGCCCCGGUAACUUCGUGCCAGCAGCCGCGGUAAUACGAGGGGGGCAAGCGUUGUUCGGAAUUAUUGGGCGUAAAGGGUGCGUAGCGGUUUGGUAAGUCUUGUGUGAAAUCUCCGGGCUCAACUCGGAGUCUGCACAGGAAACUGCCGGGCUUGAGUGUGGGAGAG